CUGGCUCAGGACGAACGCUGGCGGCACGCUUAACACAUGCAAGUCGAACGGAGUAAUUGAGAGCUUGCUUUGAUACUAGUGGCGGACGGGUGAGUAACACGUGAGCAACCUGCCUUUGAGAGUGGAAUAGCUUCUGGAAACGGAUGGUAAUACCGCAUAACAUUACGGGGCCGCAUGACCCUGUAAUCAAAGAUUUAUCGCUCAAAGAUGGGCUCGCGUCUGAUUAGGUAGUUGGUGAGGUAACGGCUCACCAAGCCGACGAUCAGUAGCCGGACUGAGAGGUUGAACGGCCACAUUGGGACUGAGACACGGCCCAGACUCCUACGGGAGGCAGCAGUGGGGAAUAUUGCACAAUGGGCGGAAGCCUGAUGCCAGCGGUGCCGCGUGGAGGAAGAAGGUUUUCGGAUUGUAAACUCCUGAUCUGAGGGACGAUAAUGACGGUACCUCAGGAGAAAGCUCCGGCUAACUACGUGCCAGCAGCCGC
This 484-nucleotide ribosomal RNA is filed under the name uncultured bacterium. RNAcentral's name for it is "bacterial SSU rRNA". It matches the Rfam family "Bacterial small subunit ribosomal RNA", at positions 19 to 518 of the family's 1533-position model. The record is from RNAcentral.